UACGGGGGGAGCAAGCGUUGUUCGGAUUUACUGGGCGUAAAGGGCGCGUAGGCGGUCAGCACAAGUCAGUUGUGAAAUCUCCGGGCUUAACUCGGAACGGUCAACUGAUACUGUGCGACUAGAGUGCAGAAGGGGCAACUGGAAUUCUUGGUGUAGCGGUGAAAUGCGUAGAUAUCGAGAGGAACACCUGCGGCGAAGGCGGGUUGCUGGGCUGACACUGACGCUGAGGCGCGAAAGCCAGGGGAGCGAACGGG
RNAcentral lists this ribosomal RNA (254 nucleotides) under uncultured bacterium. Its description in RNAcentral is "partial 16S ribosomal RNA". It matches the Rfam family "Bacterial small subunit ribosomal RNA", at positions 524 to 776 of the family's 1533-position model. The record is from RNAcentral.